RNAcentral lists this transfer RNA (21 nucleotides) under Pristimantis festae. RNAcentral's name for it is "partial tRNA-Phe". Lineage: Eukaryota; Metazoa; Chordata; Amphibia; Anura; Strabomantidae. The record is from RNAcentral.
AUUCUUAAUAGAUCUUGUAAA